UUUUAAGAUCCAAACAAGUUAUGUGAAUUAAAACGUUGCGACUUCAACCUUUGCCAAGUGGUUUCUGGUAAAGCAGUAUGCUUUUGUCCAAGUGGAUAUUAUUUACAACAAAAUGGUUUAUCGUGUACAUAUGGCCACAGUACAAAACUAUCUGGUGCAUUUAUUGUUUUAAUCGUUUUUGGAGUUAUAUUCUGCGUGUUUUUAUUUGCUUUUUUUUGUGCAAUAUAUCUCCGAGGUAAACGUAAAUUCGAUCCUGUUACUGUGCAAUUUUACGCAACAACUCAAAGUGCGGUUGUACAAGGGGCGGCUCAAAAUCACUUAAAUAGUGUCGAUUUUCAGAUAGGAGUAAACAAUACGAUUGAUUCAAACAUUCUUUAUCCUUCAAAUGAGAUUGAAAUUGACAACGUAGCUCAUUUUAACAUGGCUCCUCCUCCGUAUGAACUAUUAGAACAAUCACUUUCUCUUAUUCUUAGUACUGAGUCUCCACCGGAAUACUCAAACUAAUUUAUUAUGAAAGAAAAGCUCCAUUGAUAUGAUCUUCCUUCAAAACCUUCGUUCAACCAAUGCUAAAUCUUCAAAAUGUUUUACCGAAACAUUUACUUAAAUAAAGAUUGUUCUUUAUAAUUUUUUAUAAUAACUGUUUAAAAAACAAGUAUUUAAUAAUAUCUUAAGGGAGCAUCCAUAAAGUACGUACGCAGUAAAACCACUGAUUUAGGACCCCCCUCCCUUCCCCUUGUACGCACCUGUAUGCUUUUGAACGCUCCAUCCACCCCCUUCUGCGUACGUACACAUUAUUUGAAAUCAACCCCCUACUCCCCGAUUCGUAAAGUUUUCAAAAGUUCCCUGUUUCAUAUCAUCGUAAUAAUUUUUUAAAUUCAU
Molecule: non-coding RNA, 879 nt
Organism: Hydra vulgaris (swiftwater hydra)
Lineage: Eukaryota; Metazoa; Cnidaria; Hydrozoa; Anthoathecata; Hydridae
Source: RefSeq, a predicted model, not a curated record